This 253-nucleotide ribosomal RNA is filed under the name uncultured bacterium. RNAcentral describes it as "partial 16S ribosomal RNA". It matches the Rfam family "Bacterial small subunit ribosomal RNA", at positions 524 to 776 of the family's 1533-position model. The record is from RNAcentral.
UACGAAGGGGGCAAGCGUUGUUCGGAAUUACUGGGCGUAAAGGGCGCGUAGGCGGCUUAUCAAGUCAGGCGUGAAAUUCCCGGGCUCAACCUGUGGGCUGCGCUUGAUACUGAUGAGCUUGAAUGCGGGAGAGGAUAGUGGAAUUCCCAGUGUAGAGGUGAAAUUCGUAGAUAUUGGGAAGAACACCGGUGGCGAAGGCGGCUAUCUGGCCCGUAAUUGACGCUGAGGCGCGAAAGCGUGGGGAGCAAACAGG